This 169-nucleotide non-coding RNA is filed under the name uncultured Lawsonibacter sp. RNAcentral describes it as "Lysine riboswitch". It matches the Rfam family "Lysine riboswitch aptamer". Rfam says of the family: Riboswitches are metabolite binding domains within certain messenger RNAs that serve as precision sensors for their corresponding targets. Allosteric rearrangement of mRNA structure is mediated by ligand binding, and this results in modulation of gene expression. Lineage: Bacteria; Bacillati; Bacillota; Clostridia; Eubacteriales; Oscillospiraceae. The record is from RNAcentral.
GAUAGAGGUCGCAUCUUACAUGAGUAAGCAUGGUCAGGGAGUCGGCUCCUGCUUCACCCAUGCCAAAAGGGAAAGUUGCCGAAGGUCCACUCUGCCGACAGGGCUGGUCCUGGUCGUCUGGUGAACAGCCAGCCGACUGUCAUCAGUGGAUCUGAUGGAGCGCUGUCUG